RNAcentral lists this long non-coding RNA (1166 nucleotides) under Coffea arabica (coffee). Its description in RNAcentral is "long non-coding RNA (CARA_LNC004535)". The record is from RNAcentral. Lineage: Eukaryota; Viridiplantae; Streptophyta; Magnoliopsida; Gentianales; Rubiaceae.
GACCAAAGAAAUUCUCUCAAAAGGAUUCACAACCAACAUCCUAAUCAAGGAGGGCAAGAUCUGAUAGUUGAUGGAUUCAGCUUGUAAAACAUAUCAGAUUGAGCUCGUGAUUUACAAGUAGAAUCCAAUUAAAUCCAAACCCAACAAUUAGAAUGAAAGUUCUUAAUCCUGUCUUUAAGAAAUCCUUGGAUCAUCUGUAGUCAUACAACUUGGGGUUUGUUUAUUAUUGAACAUAAAUUACAACACAGAACUUCAAAUGAGUGUACUAAAUGAAAACAGAAACAAUAAGAACUUGAUAGAUCAGAAUUCACGACACCAAAAGGAAGAGUUGCUCCCAGCCAAAUCCAAUGAGAACACUACACAGUUACCACCAAGGCAAAUGAGACAAGUAUCAAAGGCAAAGAACAGAGAACCAUAACCAAUAAUAGAAACAAAAAGAAAUUAUAAAAUGGAAGGACAUUUGCAAGCCAGGACCAGCUAAGGACAACGUCAACAAGAUAAUGAUGUGCAAAACAGAAACUAUCUAUGUGAAAGUCUAACAAUUGGUUAACACCCUCCCUCCCCGGUGCACAGAACAGGUGCAGAAUAUCCCCCCAGUAUUUUGAAAGACCUUAACACAGUAUCUGUUAUAAUGGAGAUAAUCAGCAAGUUUUUUAGGAAAAGCAAUAAGUAGGUGGCACUCCUUUUCUACAGGGGGUGUAACCAGCAAAUAACAUCUUUCUCCAAUGUUUGUCAUAACAAAAGUUGAAUUUCAAGAAGAGAUGGUAAAAAGUCUGUAGAUCAUUCAAAAUAGUGAGUCAGAGAAGUUCUUUUAAAGCUUGAUAAACAAUCUGACUGAAGUUCUUCAAUCCACCACGGAAAAUGAUCUCCAAUUAUCAGCCACAUCACCCAAAAAGACAUGCAACCUUUUUUGUGGACCAAAGCUCACAUAUAACAUCAACCUCAAAUUCCGUUGGAAGAAAGUAAAACAAUUGCAUGGGCAUUUAUGGCUAGACAUACAAAACCCUGUUUAAUAAGACUAACAAAAACCAGACCUUGAUACUCUACAAAACGGAGCAUACAAACAAUUUAUGACUAUAACCACAAUCAAAUGGUAAUGAUAGAACAUGCCUUGAAGCUCUAAAAAUGUUGUGAUCCAAAUGCAGGUGAACAAUCUUACCACUUAA